GUAGGUGAACCUGCGGAAGGAUCAUUAACACGUAUCCACGUAUCAACCCCUCUGUGCAAACUAUUCUCGUUGAGGCCGGUCUAGUGUGCUCUUGCUUAUCAUGGGAUCUUAAUGAUGGGAGCUCCCCCUUCUGGGGGGGCUCGGGAUCUCGAGCGAGCACGCGUUUUGACGAUCAGCCGCUAUUUUUCCAUCGUUAGCCCUUUAUAACUUUUAACCCCUUUGUACUUUUUUGUACUGAACCAAUUCUUCG
This 250-nucleotide unclassified non-coding RNA is filed under the name plant metagenome. RNAcentral describes it as "partial contains small subunit ribosomal RNA, internal transcribed spacer 1, and 5.8S ribosomal RNA". The record is from RNAcentral.